This is a non-coding RNA of Malus domestica (apple), 1130 nucleotides long. Lineage: Eukaryota; Viridiplantae; Streptophyta; Magnoliopsida; Rosales; Rosaceae. The record is from RefSeq and is a predicted model, not a curated record.
GUCAUCCCCUCUGAAUUGUUUAACGGUUUGAUCUAAAUAAAAGCAAUGCAAUUUCAUCUUAAUGAAUGUCUACAAUUGGUUCAUGUGAUAGCACAGACUAUACGGAGAGAGAUGAACUUGAAGAAGCGAGGAGACACCCCGAGUUGCAAUAUUUCGGUCUGAGCACCAUAAUAGCAGCCACAGAUAACUUCUCACCCAUUAACAAACUCGGCCAAGGGGGUUUUGGCAUUGUUUAUUAGGGCCACUUGCCAAAUGGUCAGAUUAUUGCUGUAAAAUAUGUAGAUUGCACUUGAACAAGAAGAUUGAGAAACAGAAGGUUGGAGGACUAGAUGAUCAAGCAUUGACUUAUUUUUAAAGAAAAGGAUAUUGACUAUAAUAUUCACUUAGUCAGUUCUCUGUAUUAUCCUUUCUUCAACAGGGGUUGAGAACAAUAUUUAAUAUGUAGGUUGAAUUGAUUGAAUAUUUGGUUUUGUUGGUUGAAAAGUUUAAUAUCGUUUAUUUGUAUGCUCUGAUCUUUGGUUGACGCUGUUAUGUGGAAAAGACCCCUUAUAAAAGAUUAGAGAUGUAACUGGUACUUUGUCUAUAUUCCUGUAAUUUGAUUGUAUAUUGUUUUAUUUACUUUUGUAGGUUAGAGUUUUUAAUUUUUAUGGGUUUAUUGAAUGCGUAAUUCUCUAAGCAUUCGAAAAGUAAACAAAUAACAGAAGGACCUCCAUACAUUCAUGAGCAUCACUUUUAUUUAGUGGAUUACAAUGAAUUGUUAUCUCACGUAGAUAAAGUUGAAAUUCUCAUAGAUAUUGUGGGACGCAUCACAUCAGUGCAACCAGACAGUUUUGAAUCCCGCAGCAUUGCGCGGGCUUCACUGCUUGUGAUUUACUAAAGUGGCCGACAGAUGGACCCCUCAGCUGGCAGGGUACCAGUUGCAAAACGGUAACAUUUUAAGGGACUACGAGCCGUUUUAUUUUUGGGCCAUUGGUUUUUGGGCCAUUGGUGAUCAACGGUCUAGGUUAAAAUCUUUUUUUGUUUUGCAAUCUUUAGAUUUUGAUCUGAUUGUUCAUAUUUUUUUUUUCAAAUCUAAUUGUAAAAAAAAUCCAACUGCUGAAAUUUAAAUUAAAUGUCAAAAUAAUAAAAUA